UAAAAAUUAGUUAAUUUAUAACAUAAGCUUGUCAGGCUUAAAUUAUUAAAUAUUUAAUAUUUUUAA
RNAcentral lists this transfer RNA (66 nucleotides) under Typhlatya pearsei. Its description in RNAcentral is "tRNA-Asp". The record is from RNAcentral. Lineage: Eukaryota; Metazoa; Arthropoda; Malacostraca; Decapoda; Atyidae.